Non-coding RNA from Boeremia exigua, 89 nucleotides. NCBI's taxonomy places the organism in Eukaryota, Fungi, Ascomycota, Dothideomycetes, Pleosporales, Didymellaceae. The record is from the annotation of a RefSeq genome assembly.
GGGGAUGUGGCGCAGCGGUAGCGCGUCCGCUUUGCAUGAUUUCACAUCAGAAUUGCGGAAGGUCCAGGUUUCGAUCACCUGCUUCUCCA